Crucibulum laeve is the source of this 100-nucleotide non-coding RNA. Lineage: Eukaryota; Fungi; Basidiomycota; Agaricomycetes; Agaricales; Nidulariaceae. The record is from the annotation of a GenBank genome assembly.
GACCUGGUGGUGUAAUGGUAGCAUUCCGUGAGCAUAUGGAUUUUCAAGUGUGUGGUACAUGUUCUCCGCGGCAGACUCUGUUCAAAUCAGAGACGGGUCA